GUGCCGGUGGCCAUGGCUGGAGGGAAA
This 27-nucleotide ribosomal RNA is filed under the name Acidipropionibacterium jensenii. The record is from RNAcentral. Lineage: Bacteria; Bacillati; Actinomycetota; Actinomycetes; Propionibacteriales; Propionibacteriaceae.